RNAcentral lists this ribosomal RNA (492 nucleotides) under uncultured bacterium. Its description in RNAcentral is "partial 16S ribosomal RNA". It matches the Rfam family "Bacterial small subunit ribosomal RNA", at positions 29 to 507 of the family's 1533-position model. The record is from RNAcentral.
AGUGAACGCUGGCGGUAGGCCUAACACAUGCAAGUCGAACGGCAGCACAGUAAGAGCUUGCUCUUACGGGUGGCGAGUGGCGGACGGGUGAGGAAUACAUCGGAAUCUACUUUUUCGUGGGGGAUAACGUAGGGAAACUUACGCUAAUACCGCAUACGACCUGCGGGUGAAAGCAGGGGAUCUUCGGACCUUGCGCGAUUGAAUGAGCCGAUGUCGGAUUAGCUAGUUGGCGGGGUAAAGGCCCACCAAGGCGACGAUCCGUAGCUGGUCUGAGAGGAUGAUAAGCCACACUCGAACUGAGACACCGUCCAGACUCCUACGGGAGGCAGCAGUGGGGAAUAUUGGACAACGGGCGCAAGCCUGAUCCAGCCAUACCGCGUGGGUGAAGAAGGCCUUCGGGUUGUAAAGCCCUUUUGUUGGGAAAGAAAAGCAGCAGGUUAAUACCCCGCUGUUCUGACGGUACCCAAAGAAUAAGCACCGGCUAACUUCGUG